AACUGAUACUACCUGCGGGAACCUGCGGAGGGAUCAUUACAGGACUCGCAAGACUCCUUACACCCUGUGAACCUUACUGUAUACGCGUUGCUUCGGCGGGUCCGCCCGCCGGCAGCAUACCACAUUCUGUUUCUCUGCGUUGGCAUCUCGAGAAAAAAGCAAAUAAGUUAAAACUUUCAACAAUGGAUCUCU
Molecule: unclassified non-coding RNA, 192 nt
Filed under: soil metagenome
Description: partial contains 5.8S ribosomal RNA, internal transcribed spacer 2, and large subunit ribosomal RNA
Source: RNAcentral